AGCGGCGUGGCUCAGUGGCACGAGCCCGCGCUUGGGAGUCGGAGGUCACGGGUUCGAAUCCCGGCUCCGCCA
This is a non-coding RNA of Ornithorhynchus anatinus (platypus), 72 nucleotides long. The record is from Rfam. NCBI's taxonomy places the organism in Eukaryota, Metazoa, Chordata, Mammalia, Monotremata, Ornithorhynchidae.